Molecule: ribosomal RNA, 253 nt
Filed under: uncultured bacterium
Lineage: Bacteria
Description: partial 16S ribosomal RNA
Rfam family: Bacterial small subunit ribosomal RNA
Source: RNAcentral
UACAGAGGUCUCAAGCGUUGUUCGGAUUUAUUGGGCGUAAAGGGCGCGUAGGCGGCGGGGUAAGUCGGGUGUGAAAUCUCAGGGCUCAACCCUGAAACUGCACUUGAUACUGCUCUGCUUGAGGACUGGAGAGGAGACUGGAAUUCACGGUGUCGCAGUGAAAUGCGUAGAUAUCGUGAGGAAGACCAGUGGCGAAGGCGGGUCUCUGGACAGUUCCUGACGCUGAGGCGCGAAGGCCAGGGGAGCAAACGGG